RNAcentral lists this ribosomal RNA (528 nucleotides) under Opilio parietinus. Its description in RNAcentral is "partial large subunit ribosomal RNA". It matches the Rfam family "Bacterial large subunit ribosomal RNA", at positions 1796 to 2621 of the family's 2925-position model. The record is from RNAcentral. Lineage: Eukaryota; Metazoa; Arthropoda; Arachnida; Opiliones; Phalangiidae.
UCGCCUGUUUAUCAAAAACAUUUUUUUAUGAUUUAAAUUAAAAUAAGCCCUGCUCUAUGAUAUAUAAAUGUAUUAAAUAGCCGCAGUAUACUGACUGUGCAAAGGUAGCAUAAUCAUUUGGUUCUUAAAUGGAAUCUUGUAUGAAGGGGUUAACGAAAAUUAGCUGUCUUAAAAAAAUAUUUUGAAUUUUAAUUUUUUGUAAUAAUGCAAAAAUUUAAUUAAGGGACGAUAAGACCCUAUAAAGCUUUAUUUUAAUUAUAAGCUAGUUUUGCUCACACUAUUUUAUAUUAAUAAAUUUUACUGGGGCGGUAGCUUAUUAAACUAAGUUAAUUUAAUGGUUUGACCCAAUACUAUUGAUCAUAGGAUUAAGUUACUUUAGGGAUAACAGCAUAAUCCACUUAGGGAGUUCAAAUCGAAGAGUGGGAUUGUGACCUCGAUGUUGAAUUAAAAUUUCUUUAGGGUGCAGGAGCUUUAUGAGAUGGUCUGUUCGACCAUUAAAAUUUUACAUGAUCUGAGUUCAAACCGGAG